Molecule: unclassified non-coding RNA, 233 nt
Filed under: uncultured Ceratobasidium
Lineage: Eukaryota; Fungi; Basidiomycota; Agaricomycetes; Cantharellales; Ceratobasidiaceae
Description: sequence contains ITS2
Source: RNAcentral
AAAUCUUCAAAGUAAACCUUUUGUUAACUCAAUUGGUUCCUUACUUUGGUAUUGGAGGUCUUUGCAGCUUCACACCUGCUCCUCUUUGUUCAUUAGCUGGAUCUCAGUGUUAUGCUUGGUUCCACUCGGCGUGAUAAGUAUCUAUCGCUGAGGACACUUGUAAAAAGGUGGCCAAGGUAAAUGCAGAUGAACCGCUUCCAACAGUCCAUUGACUUGGACAAAUAAUUUUUAUG